Molecule: ribosomal RNA, 254 nt
Filed under: uncultured bacterium
Lineage: Bacteria
Description: partial 16S ribosomal RNA
Rfam family: Bacterial small subunit ribosomal RNA
Source: RNAcentral
UACGUAGGGGGCGAGCGUUGUCCGGAUUUAUUGGGCGUAAAGAGCUCGUAGGCGGCUUGACAAGUCGGGUGUGAAACCUCCAGGCUCAACCUGGAGAUGCCAUUCGAUACUGUCAUGGCUAGAGUCCGGUAGGGGACCAUGGAAUUCCUGGUGUAGCGGUGAAAUGCGCAGAUAUCAGGAGGAACACCAAUGGCGAAGGCAGCACUCUGGGACGUGACUGACGCUGAGACGCGAAAGCGUGGGGAGCAAACAGG